GGCUGGUCCGAGUGCAGUGGUAUUUGUAUUUACAACUAAUCAAUGACAACCAGUUACAGAUUUUGUUCCUUCUCCACUCCCACUGCUUUGCUUGACCAGCCUUUA
Molecule: Y RNA, 105 nt
Filed under: Saimiri boliviensis boliviensis (Bolivian squirrel monkey)
Lineage: Eukaryota; Metazoa; Chordata; Mammalia; Primates; Cebidae
Description: Y RNA (ENSSBOG00000003721.1)
Rfam family: Y RNA
About the family: Y RNAs are components of the Ro ribonucleoprotein particle (Ro RNP), in association with Ro60 and La proteins.
Source: Rfam by way of RNAcentral